UUUAAUUAUGAAAAUAUGGACUGCUAAUUACCUCCACUUUUCCUAUCUAAUCCGUAUAUAAGAAUAUGUAUCCAACAUCUUUCAAUAUUUUUCGAGAUUUUGGCCCCAACCUGACGAAUUGCGGAAAAUUCAAAGUAUGUAAGAAGGAUGCAAGGAUUAGACCCGUAAAACUGCAGGUUUAAAUUAAAGUCAUUUAUUUUCCCUUUUCUAUACUUCCUCGAUUUGCAGCCUUCCACAAAACAAUAUAACAUUAUUUUUAUAUAUUUAAAUUAUUGUCAAAAAUUCAAGCCACAAAUCUUGGAUAUCAAGUCAAGUUGGCUUUAGCGGUCCAUAUUUUCAUAGUCAAAGAUUUUAAGGGUACCUUAAGGGUUGGAAACUUAUCUGAUUCUAAUUGGUUGAUCCACUCCAUUACUUUUCCAAGAUUCCAUUUUCCGAAGUUUCGACUCACGGGACAGCACCCUAUAAUUAUCUUUCUUUAAAAAAAGUGUUUCUAACAACUAAUUACUAUCAGCAAUGCGUGUUUCUUGCACCACAUCUCAUACAAGGCUGUAGACAUAUAUAUCUACAGUUGAUACAAAGAGAGGCUUUAGAACAAUCAGAGCAACACCGUCUCUAUCAAUUCAUCUAAAGGCUGGAAGUCAUGAAGAUGAACGUGAGAAGAGCAACUGUGGCCAGAGCAAGAGAUAAUAGACGCCGCUGCGGAAGCCAAUGUACAGUAUGUAGUGUAGAGAUUGAAACAACGAAGCAAAUUUCUUGUCACCUCGUCGCAGGACGUUAUAAAUGCUGCGCAUUAUAAACCUCGUCCAGGAAUAUUUAUGUU
This is a non-coding RNA of Linepithema humile (Argentine ant), 820 nucleotides long. The record is from RefSeq and is a predicted model, not a curated record. NCBI's taxonomy places the organism in Eukaryota, Metazoa, Arthropoda, Insecta, Hymenoptera, Formicidae.